Molecule: long non-coding RNA, 421 nt
Organism: Haliotis rufescens (red abalone)
Lineage: Eukaryota; Metazoa; Mollusca; Gastropoda; Lepetellida; Haliotidae
Exons: 3
Source: RefSeq, a predicted model, not a curated record
UCAAACGCAGAUUUCCUGUUCUCCAUGGGGAAAUCAGGUUAAAACCUGAGAAGGCUUGUAAGGUGAUAAUAGCAUGUGCUGUCCUGCACAACAUAUGCGGGGACAGAAACAUCCCAGUUCCACCCACUGAUGGGCAUGAUGGACUUGGCAGGCUUGAUGGGCAGAAUGGAGCUCAAGCAGUGACUGCUCCACCAGUAGCUGCACUCAGAUACCGGGAGCACUUUGCCAAUACCAACUUUCCAUAGUUUCCACGGUUGGUGAAGGGAGGGACCCUGUGACAUCUGGCUCCUUGGAAUACAUGUUGGCUCCUUCUGGUUGAGGAUGUGGAUCUGACAUGGCGGUGUCAUAAAUCUCCCUGCAACAGAAAAUAUUAAAGUUUUAAUUGUAAUUUUCACAUAAAUGUUCUUUUCAAUUUCAACAA